Molecule: ribosomal RNA, 405 nt
Filed under: uncultured bacterium
Lineage: Bacteria
Description: bacterial SSU rRNA
Rfam family: Bacterial small subunit ribosomal RNA
Source: RNAcentral
AGCGAACGCUGGCGGCAGGCCUAACACAUGCAAGUCGAACGCACCUUCGGGUGAGUGGCGGACGGGUGAGUAACACGUGGGAACGUACCUUUAGGUUCGGAAUAACGCAGGGAAACUUGCGCUAAUACCGAAUGUGCCCUUCGGGGAAAGAUUAUCGCCUUUAGAGCGGCCCGCGUUAGAUUAGCUAGUUGGUGGGGUAAGUGGCCCACCAAGGCUACGAUCUAUAGCUGGUCUGAGAGGAUGAUCAGCCACACUGGGACUGAGACACGGCCCAGACUCCUACGGGAGGCAGCAGUGGGGAAUCUUGCGCAAUGGGCGAAAGCCUGACGCAGCCAUGCCGCGUGAAUGAUGAAGGUCUUAGGAUUGUAAAAUUCUUUUAGCAGGGACGAUAAUGACGGUACCUGC